UGAAUGCGCAGGCGCACUCCAUUUCCCUCCCUCCCCCUCCCCUCGGUGUGGCUCCGGGUGCUGGCAUCCCACGCUACGCCACUGUGGCUGGUAGCCCUUGACAGCCCUCUCUGCUCCUCCAUGUAUUUGUCUGAUCCUCUUUUAGAGCCAUCUACGAGAGUUGGUGGCCCUCCCUUCCUCCUGAGGGAGGGAGUUCCGUAGGUUAACUCUGAACUGCUUGAAGACAGCUUUUCUUACAUCCAUCCUGGAUCUUCCAAUAUUCAGCAUCAUUGGAUGUCUGGGCAUUCUAGUGGCAGCUGAGAUACCGUCUCCUUGCGAGGCCUGGGACUUGGGGACUGGAGGAGCAGGAGGAGGAAGAAGCUCUCGCCAUCCUUCCAUGCCAAAGCAGACUCUCGGAGAGUAAGGAUGUAACUGAAGCUCUCCAGGUUCACCCAGACUCAGGCUGGAAUCCAGGCUGUGGUCGGAGACAGAGCUCUGCUUCUUGGUCUGUUGGAAUUAUUUCAUAUUUUGUAAGAUGUUGAGCCUGUGUCUUGGACGGGUAUAUGUCUCAUGGACAGAUUGUGAAGCUGAGGCUCCAAGACUUUGGCCACCUCAUGAGAAGAGAAGACUCCCUGGAAAAGACCCUGAUGUUGGGAAAGAUUGAGGGCACUAGGAGAAGGGGACGACAGAGGACGAGAUGGUUGGACAGUGUUCUCGAAGCUACCAACAUGAGUUUGACCAAACUGCGGGAGGCAGUGCGAGACAGGAGUGCCUGGCGUGCUCUGGUCCAUGGGGUCACGAAGAGUCGGACACGACUAAACAACAACAACAACAACAACAACAACAACAACAACAUGUCUCAUGGAAUUGUUUCGAUGUAUCAUUUGAUAUUUUUGUUUUGUUUUGAAGAAAGUUCUGCAAGUGAAGCUGCUGAAUAAUAUCUCAUGGGUCUGGACAAUGCUCCAUGUCCAAACAGAGUCAGUUUUUAGGCAUCCAGUUGCUUCAAAUAGCACAAUAUUAAU
Long non-coding RNA from Zootoca vivipara (common lizard), 1001 nucleotides. RefSeq lists it as uncharacterized. The record is from RefSeq and is a predicted model, not a curated record. Lineage: Eukaryota; Metazoa; Chordata; Lepidosauria; Squamata; Lacertidae.